RNAcentral lists this ribosomal RNA (468 nucleotides) under uncultured bacterium. Its description in RNAcentral is "partial 16S ribosomal RNA". It matches the Rfam family "Bacterial small subunit ribosomal RNA", at positions 28 to 507 of the family's 1533-position model. The record is from RNAcentral.
GACGAACGCUGGCGGCGUGCUUAACACAUGCAAGUCGAACGGAAAGGCCCUGCUUUUGUGGGGUGCUCGAGUGGCGAACGGGUGAGUAACACGUGAGUAACCUGCCCUUGACUUUGGGAUAACUUCAGGAAACUGGGGCUAAUACCGGCUAGGAGCUCCUGCUGCAUGGUGGGGGUUGGAAAGUUUCGGCGGUUGGGGAUGGACUCGCGGCUUAUCAGCUUGUUGGUGGGGUAGUGGCUUACCAAGGCUUUGACGGGUAGCCGGCCUGAGAGGGUGACCGGCCACAUUGGGACUGAGAGACGGCCCAGACUCCUACGGGAGGCAGCAGUGGGGAAUAUUGCACAAUGGGCGGAAGCCUGAGGCAGCAACGCCGCGUGCGGGAUGACGGCCUUCGGGUUGUAAACCGCUUUCGCCUGUGACGAAGCGUGAGUGACGGUAAUGGGUAAAGAAGCACCGGCUAACUACGUG